AUACGGAGGGUCCAAGCGUUAUCCGGAAUCAUUGGGUUUAAAGGGUCCGCAGGCGGUCAAUUAAGUCAGAGGUGAAAGCCCAUCGCUCAACGAUGGAACUGCCUUUGAUACUGGUUGACUUGAGUUAUACGGAAGUAGAUAGAAUAAGUAGUGUAGCGGUGAAAUGCAUAGAUAUUACUUAGAAUACCGAUUGCGAAGGCAGUCUACUACGUAUAUACUGACGCUGAGGGACGAAAGCGUGGGGAGCGAACAGGAUUAGAAACCCGGGUAGUCC
This 274-nucleotide ribosomal RNA is filed under the name uncultured bacterium. RNAcentral describes it as "partial 16S ribosomal RNA". It matches the Rfam family "Bacterial small subunit ribosomal RNA", at positions 523 to 796 of the family's 1533-position model. The record is from RNAcentral.